RNAcentral lists this transfer RNA (73 nucleotides) under Stegodyphus mimosarum. It matches the Rfam family "tRNA". From Rfam's summary of the family: Transfer RNA (tRNA) molecules are approximately 80 nucleotides in length. The record is from Rfam by way of RNAcentral. Lineage: Eukaryota; Metazoa; Arthropoda; Arachnida; Araneae; Eresidae.
GCCUUCGUGGUGUAGUGGUCAGCAUGCUUGGCACAUGUUCAAGAGGUCAGUGGUUCGAGUCCCGGUGAGGGCA